GAUGUUUAAGAUCAUAAUUUGCUGAUAUACUGCCCUAAUAAUAGAUCUGAAUAGGUUCCGGUGCCAAGAUUUGUCAAUCAAGUGGGUGGGGGGGAUUAAAGAGCUGUAUAACUUGUUAUGGUGGUUGCAUCUGCAUACCUGCCUCCUGCUAUUGUACAAAGGUUAAGUACUCAAUAGAAUCCAAAGGAAUGCAGGGCAUCCUUUUAAAAAGGGCCUCGGCAAAACCAGCUCCUCUCAUUUGCAAAGACGCGGCUAUGCAGUUUUGAAGUGCCAGAUCUUCUCAUAGCGAUGGAUUGCAAGGCCUGUUGCGGGCGUUGCAUUCUCUUCCUGGUCCUGGCAGUGAUCUGUGAUGUCGUGGGCCUGGUCCUCUUCCUGGUGGGCAUCCUCGCUCCGCUGAGCUUCUGGGAUUUGUUUGUGCUCUCCGGGCCUCUCGUCAUCUUCCUCAGCCUGGUGUUCUGGAUCUUCUGGUACCUGGGGAACCUCACUGUGCCAUAUAAAGAGCUGUUGCCACUUUAAGGCAGAUAGCGAUUCUGUAUCUACCGGGAAAUUGACAGGCUGGCAGGAGCUAAUCUCUCAUACAUAAAUACAGAGUUAAAGGGCUGAGCAGCAAGCUGAUGUCAAAUCUUAUGACCGACAAUGAGGAGUUUACACAGACUGAACUUACGCCUGACAAUGAUUUAAACGUACAUUUGAAUUCUCACGGCUUUUGAAGUCAAUUACGUCUUUAAACGUACCAAACCACGAGUUACCAGGGGUUCGAAGAUGAAAACUCUCCAUUUUGAGGCACUUGAAUAUGUAUAAUAACGUUGUACUUCCUUGUAAAAACCUGUGGUUGUAUUUAUGGUUAAUAAACUAUGUUCACUAUGAA
Long non-coding RNA from Alosa alosa (allis shad), 868 nucleotides. RefSeq lists it as uncharacterized. The record is from RefSeq and is a predicted model, not a curated record. NCBI's taxonomy places the organism in Eukaryota, Metazoa, Chordata, Actinopteri, Clupeiformes, Clupeidae. The transcript is spliced from 2 exons.